RNAcentral lists this ribosomal RNA (484 nucleotides) under uncultured bacterium. Its description in RNAcentral is "partial 16S ribosomal RNA". It matches the Rfam family "Bacterial small subunit ribosomal RNA", at positions 30 to 507 of the family's 1533-position model. The record is from RNAcentral.
AUUGAACGCUGGCGGCAGGCCUAACACAUGCAAGUCGAGCGGAUGAAGGGAGCUUGCUCCUGGAUUCAGCGGCGGACGGGUGAGUAAUGCCUAGGAAUCUGCCUGGUAGUGGGGGAUAACGUCCGGAAACGGGCGCUAAUACCGCAUACGUCCUGAGGGAGAAAGUGGGGGAUCUUCGGACCUCACGCUAUCAGAUGAGCCUAGGUCGGAUUAGCUAGUUGGUGGGGUAAAGGCCUACCAAGGCGACGAUCCGUAACUGGUCUGAGAGGAUGAUCAGUCACACUGGAACUGAGACACGGUCCAGACUCCUACGGGAGGCAGCAGUGGGGAAUAUUGGAGAAUGGGCGAAAGCCUGAUCCAGCCAUGCCGCGUGUGUGAAGAAGGUCUUCGGAUUGUAAAGCACUUUAAGUUGGGAGGAAGGGCAGUAAGUUAGUACCUUGCUGUUUUGACGUUACCAACAGAAUAAGCACCGGCUAACUUCGUG